This is a non-coding RNA of Doryrhamphus excisus (bluestripe pipefish), 1280 nucleotides long. NCBI's taxonomy places the organism in Eukaryota, Metazoa, Chordata, Actinopteri, Syngnathiformes, Syngnathidae. The record is from RefSeq and is a predicted model, not a curated record.
CUCCCUAGUGAUGUGUUCCGGGCAUGCCCAGCUGGGAGAAGGCCCCGGGGCAGACCAAGGACACGCUGGAGGGAUUAUGUCUCACAGCUGGCCUGGGAACGCCAUGAUGUCCUCCCGGUGGAGCUGGAGGAGGUGGCCGGGGACCGGGAAGUCUGGGCCUCCCUACUGAGACUGUUGACCCCGCAACCUGGACCCGGAUAAGCGGAGGAGAAUGGAUGGCUCGCCAACUACUACUGUGUUCACGUGCCAGCUCACGCCACUCAGGUCUGCUUCCAAGGCUGCCACUCAUCCCUCGGCCGAGCUGCGGGGUCCAACGAGGGGGAGAAGAUGACACAACACAACACGAAACAGCUGCAGCGACAACGAGACUGGCACUCAUCAGGGCAUGCAACUCCACACAGCAUUUGUUGCAGGCUACUUCCUGGUUCCUGGAGAUUUAACAACAGCCCUGUUUCUCCAUAACUUUGCCCCUCCCUGUCCUUGGGAAUAAGAUAUCCCUGCCAAUCCUCCGAGGUAUGCAGCAUUUCAGGCCGUCUCAUCCUUUUCGCUACUGCUCAUCAUUGCAAAAGCGUGUAAUACAAUACCCACCAUCGACUUAUUGGAGAGCUGCUCCUGACUAUGCACGGAGUCCACUGUGUAGCUCCGGCUAAUUUCACUCAAUGGUGCAUGAGUAAAUGUUAGAUGAAGCCAGUGAACCCUGCGAUAUGAGAAUAUUGUCAGCGUCACUGCGGGCCUCCAUCUGUUAAUGCACUUUUGGACAGUCUAUUGAGAUGCUAAAUAAUUUAAUUGGUGCUAUCAUUCCAGCACAAAGCUAUUUGACGGUGGAAAGGAAGUUGUGGCAAGUAUCAAUAACGCUGUUGAGAGCAUUUGCCAUAAGUCAAAUAACAGGACUUUUGGCAGAAUUAUGUCAUAAUUUGACCUGAUAAUUAAAAGCUUUAAUAUUCUCUGCGGGCGGCACGGUGGUCUAGUGGUUAGCGCGCAGACCUCACAGCGAGUAGACAAAGGUUCAAUUCCACCCUCGGCCAUCUUGUGGGUUUUCUCCGAGUACUCUGGUUUCCUCCCACAUUCCAAAAACAUGCUAGGUUAAUUGGCGACUCCAAAUUGUCCAUAGGUAUGAAUGUGAGUGUGAAUGGUUGUUUGUCUAUAUGUGCCCUGUGAUUGGCUGGCCACCAGUCCAGGGUGUACCCCGCCUCUCGCCCGAAGACAGCUGGGAUAGGCUCCAGCACCCCCGCGACCCUCGUGAGGAAAAAGCGGUAGAAAAUGAAUGAAUGAAUGAAUGA